Molecule: long non-coding RNA, 240 nt
Filed under: Lupinus angustifolius (narrow-leaved blue lupine)
Lineage: Eukaryota; Viridiplantae; Streptophyta; Magnoliopsida; Fabales; Fabaceae
Description: long non-coding RNA (LANG_LNC000312)
Source: RNAcentral
GCGCUAGCUCACAACGAGUUCAGGCUAAAUUAGGUAGGGCUUUAGGGCUGUGGCGGGCUAGCCCAACUGAUAACAUUAUAAUUUUUUUUAAUUUUCAGCAUUUAAAAUUUUAAAUACAAUACAUAUAGAAAAAUAGAAAACCAAUAAAACAUGAUUCUUAUUACUUCCUAAGAGCAAGGCCAUACAUAACUGCUAGUCUGCUACCGUGCUACCAAGUACCAACAACACCUACAAAAAGUU